AAAGUGGCGAACGGCUGAGUAACACGUGGGCAACCUGCCCUUUGCACUGGGAUAGCCUCGGGAAACCGAGGUUAAUACCGGAUACUCCAUAUUUGUCGCAUGGCGAAUAUGGGAAAGCUCCGGCGGCAAAGGAUGGGCCCGCGGCCUGUUAGCUAGUUGGUGGGGUAGUGGCCUACCAAGGCAAUGAUGGGUAGCCGGGUUGAGAGACCGACCGGCCAGAUUGGGACUGAGACACGGCCCAGACUCCUACGGGAGGCAGCAGCG
RNAcentral lists this ribosomal RNA (264 nucleotides) under uncultured Atopobium sp. Its description in RNAcentral is "partial 16S ribosomal RNA". It matches the Rfam family "Bacterial small subunit ribosomal RNA", at positions 92 to 356 of the family's 1533-position model. Lineage: Bacteria; Bacillati; Actinomycetota; Coriobacteriia; Coriobacteriales; Atopobiaceae. The record is from RNAcentral.